This 482-nucleotide ribosomal RNA is filed under the name uncultured bacterium. Its description in RNAcentral is "partial 16S ribosomal RNA". It matches the Rfam family "Bacterial small subunit ribosomal RNA", at positions 30 to 507 of the family's 1533-position model. The record is from RNAcentral.
AUUGAACGCUGGCGGCAUACCUUACACAUGCAAGUCGAACGGUAACAGGUCUUCGGAUGCUGACGAGUGGCGAACGGGUGAGUAAUACAUCGGAACGUGCCCGAUCGUGGGGGAUAACGGAGCGAAAGCUUUGCUAAUACCGCAUACGAUCUACGGAUGAAAGCAGGGGACCGCAAGGCCUUGCGCGGACGGAGCGGCCGAUGGCAGAUUAGGUAGUUGGUGGGAUAAAAGCUUACCAAGCCGACGAUCUGUAGCUGGUCUGAGAGGACGACCAGCCACACUGGGACUGAGACACGGCCCAGACUCCUACGGGAGGCAGCAGUGGGGAAUUUUGGACAAUGGGCGAAAGCCUGAUCCAGCCAUGCCGCGUGCAGGAUGAAGGCCUUCGGGUUGUAAACUGCUUUUGUACGGAACGAAAAGACUCUUUCUAAUAAAGAGGGUCCAUGACGGUACCGUAAGAAUAAGCACCGGCUAACUACGUG